This is a long non-coding RNA of Rhodamnia argentea, 253 nucleotides long. RefSeq lists it as uncharacterized. The transcript is spliced from 2 exons. The record is from RefSeq and is a predicted model, not a curated record. NCBI's taxonomy places the organism in Eukaryota, Viridiplantae, Streptophyta, Magnoliopsida, Myrtales, Myrtaceae.
UGUCGUCGCACUAAAUGUAUAAACACUGCUCCUCAUCUUAUUUGGUACAGGUUUAUUUACUUCCCAUGAAAAUUCUCGAUAAACAAUGGUUGCUGUGGCUGUCUUUUUCAUUCUGAUAUUUUCAGACCUCUCGUUAAUGAAUCUAAUUUAUGUGUCAAAUAGAGAGAUCUAUAUUUAUGUGUGAAAUGUUCAGUCAACCUUUUCAACGAAUAACACCAGAAACUUGCCAAGGCUCCAUGAACAAGAGAAAAAG